CGGGGUGCAGCAGGCGCGAAAACUUUACAAUGCUGGAAACAGCGAUAAGGGGACCUCGAGUGCCAGGUUACAAAUCUGGCUGUCGUGAUGCCUAAAAAGCAUUGCAUAGCAAGGGCCGGGCAAGACCGGUGCCAGCCGCCGCGGUAACACCGGCGGCUCGAGUGGUAACCGUUAUUAUUGGGUCUAAAGGGUCUGUAGCCGGCCGGAUAAGUCUCUUGGGAAAUCCAGCAGCUCAACUGUUGGGCUUUCAGGAGAUACUGUCUGGCUCGAGGCCGGGAGAGGUGAGAGGUACUUCAGGGGUAGGGGUGAAAUCUUGUAAUCCUUGAAGGACCACCAGUGGCGAAGGCGUCUCACCAGAACGGACCUGACGGCAAGGGACGAAAGCUAGGGGCACGAACCGGAUUAGAUACCCGGGUAGUCCUAGCCGUAAACGAUACUCGCUAGGUGUCGGCCACGGUGCGACCGUUGUCGGUGCCGUAGGGAAGCCGUGAAGCGAGCCACCUGGGAAGUACGGCCGCAAGGCUGAAACUUAAAGGAAUUGGCGGGGGAGCACAAGGGCGAAUCGCG
Molecule: ribosomal RNA, 567 nt
Filed under: uncultured archaeon
Lineage: Archaea
Description: bacterial SSU rRNA
Rfam family: Archaeal small subunit ribosomal RNA
Source: RNAcentral